This is a non-coding RNA of Dermacentor andersoni, 989 nucleotides long. The record is from RefSeq and is a predicted model, not a curated record. NCBI's taxonomy places the organism in Eukaryota, Metazoa, Arthropoda, Arachnida, Ixodida, Ixodidae.
GCGCGGCGAAUACAAGGCGCGCGAGCGCGAGCUUUCGCGCGCCGGCAAGAGUUCGUGUAGUUUGGCCUUUAAACUUGAACACUUCUGCCACGAUGCGUUGUGCCAUGUGAGGCAAUGACAAGGCUAAACCCCUUGGGGGUAAUGAACAAUGGUGCGCAACAACGCUUCGAGCAAUCACUUCUCGCUGUGUGUGAUGUGUACUACGCGGACAAACAGCAGUGGUGCACGCAAGGACGCUGGGAUACCUGCGCAUAUUCUGUGGCCGACAUCUGCAGCUAGCGCAGCGAGAGUCUUCUAGAGUGCCACAUUUUUUAAUAUCGUGCCGCCUUUCGUCUAUCCCCAGCGCCUAGCAAUCUCCGCGGCGUCCAGGAACCUGCACGAACCCGCUACAGACAUCGAAGUGCGCAAAUAUGAGGGCUUCCGGCAAGGACCAGCGCCGUAGUGAAGACUCCAUUGUACGGCGCGAGCUGGACCGCCACGCGGACGACGUUUCUAGCAUAGAUACAACGUUGAGAGAGGCUGCCCCAGGCUGCGAUGGCGAAGUUGACAACAGCGACGCGACGGACUGUGUCAGCAGCGAGGUGCAGCGUACUGAGCGAGUGUGCCGUCCUGCUUUGCUGGUGGAGCGCGUUGACAAGGCAGUUCAGUGUGAACUGGAGUCGAGCAGCUUUUUGGACGAGUUGUGUGCGCGGCAUGGGCUGCGCAUAGAAUAACUGACUGCACAGGGACUGCCAUCAUGCUACGAUGUUCGGCUCGAAGAGGCAAACCCACUGCCUGUCACUCGUCAUGAAAUUGUGUGUGAACAGUUGUGGUGUUGUUUUUGUUGCUGUGCUGUUCGAAGGUGUUAUGCUGGAAGCUUUUUCUUUUACAUUUGACUUGCCCGAGUGAUCUGUUUGCCAAGCAUGCUAUGCUUCAUUUUGUUUGACCAGUUUGUUGCAUCACAUCGUGUGGACCAGUUAUUCCCUGCAAUAAAUCACUUUCGUCAUGUA